UAGUUCUUGAGCCUCAUGGGCAUAUAUAUAGGAGGACAUGAUAUAUUUGGAGUACAAAACAAGUCGUAAUACUUCCUAGUCUACCCUAUAUUUUCAAUACAAUCACGAUACUCAACAUCUUCAAUAUUUAAGCACAUAUCAUGAUUUACUGUGCCAUGUGAUGAAAAUAAUGGUACUAAUUUUCAAAAGUAAAUAUCAAUAAGAUGAACUAGAUGGCACUAAAUAAUGUCCAAUCACAUUCAUGGAUGAGUAGCCUCCAAGUGAAAUUUAUAAAGAGACAUUCACACCUCUUCUUUCGUUUUCUUUUUCUAAAAUUAAGAGACAAACGAGAGGGACGCAAGUUUCUCUAAUCUUCAUUUAUUGAAGAUAAUUUUGUAGCCCCAACUUUGAAAUGGUCAAAUGAAGGAGACUAUAUAAUAACAUCAAGAAAAUCAGAGACAAAAGCAUGAGUUUACAAAACAAGAUCAACGAAUUUAAAUACGAUCUUGUACAUAUCGAAACAGGCUUCCGCCCCGCUUUGUAUUACAAAACAACCACUUUCGGUACAUCGAGCGAUAGGUGCUGGGGUGGAAACAACACAAGCACGUCCAAAAGAAACAACAAAGAAAGAGUAAAAAAACAAAUGCCGACAAUGGCGGAUCAACGAAAACGGAGAAGCCUCGCGAUCGCUGCGCCCAUCGAAGAACACCCACCAAGCUCCUAGACUCCGAGACGCCGAUACCAAUCAACACCUCCAAGAAGGGACGCGACAAUGACGAC
RNAcentral lists this long non-coding RNA (759 nucleotides) under Hordeum vulgare. RNAcentral's name for it is "long non-coding RNA (HVUL_LNC007979)". The record is from RNAcentral. Lineage: Eukaryota; Viridiplantae; Streptophyta; Magnoliopsida; Poales; Poaceae.